This 429-nucleotide ribosomal RNA is filed under the name Chloroflexota bacterium. RNAcentral's name for it is "Chloroflexi bacterium partial 16S ribosomal RNA". It matches the Rfam family "Bacterial small subunit ribosomal RNA", at positions 355 to 776 of the family's 1533-position model. The record is from RNAcentral. Lineage: Bacteria; Bacillati; Chloroflexota.
UGGGGAAUAUUGCACAAUGGGCGCAAGCCUGAUGCAGCAACGCCGCGUGUGUGAAGAAGGCGUUCGGUUUGUAAAGCACUUUCAGCGGGGAGGAAGGCGAUAAUGUUAAUAACCUCAUCGAUUGACGUUACCCGCAGAAGAAGCACCGGCUAACUCCGUGCCAGCAGCCGCGGUAAUACGGAGGGUGCAAGCGUUAGUCGGAAUUACUGGGCGUAAAGCGCACGCAGGCGGUCUGUCAAGUCGGAUGUGAAAUCCCCGGGCUCAACCGGGGAACUGCAUUCGAAACUGGCAGGCUAGAGUGCUGUAGAGGGAGGUAGAAUUCCGGGUGUAGCGGUGAAAUGCGUAGAGAUCUGGAGGAAUACCGGUGGCGAAAGCGGCCCCUUGGACAGAGACUGACGCUCAGGUGCGAAAGCGUGGGGAGCAAACAGG